This 515-nucleotide ribosomal RNA is filed under the name uncultured bacterium. RNAcentral describes it as "partial 16S ribosomal RNA". It matches the Rfam family "Bacterial small subunit ribosomal RNA", at positions 28 to 523 of the family's 1533-position model. The record is from RNAcentral.
GAUGAACGCUGGCGGCGUGCCCAAUACAUGCAAGUCGAGCGAAUGGAUUAAGAGCUUGCUCUUAUGAAGUUAGCGGCGGACGGGUGAGUAACACGUGAGUAACCUGCCCAUAAGACUGGGAUAACUCCGGGAAACCGGGGCUAAUACCGGAUAAUAUUUUGAACUGCAUGGUUCAAAAUUGAAAGGCGGCUUCGGCUGUCACUUAUGGAUGGACCCGCGUCGCAUUAGCUAGUUGGUGAGGUAACGGCUCACAAAGGCAACGAUGCGUAGCCGACCUUAGAGGGUGAUCGGCCACACUGAGACUGAGACACGGCCCAGACUCCUACGGGAGGCAGCAGUAGGGAAUCUUCCGCAAUGGACGAAAGUCUGACGGAGCAACGCCGAGUGAGUGAUGAAGGCUUUAGGGUCGUAAAACUCUGUUGUUAGGGAAGAACAAGUGCUAGUUGAAUAAGCUGGCACCUUGACGGUACCUAACCAGAAAGCCACGGCUAACUACGUGCCAGCAGCCGCCGUAA